This 233-nucleotide ribosomal RNA is filed under the name uncultured bacterium. Its description in RNAcentral is "partial 16S ribosomal RNA". It matches the Rfam family "Bacterial small subunit ribosomal RNA", at positions 15 to 241 of the family's 1533-position model. The record is from RNAcentral.
GAUCGAUGGCUCAGGAUGAACGCUAGCGACAGGCUUAACACAUGCAAGUCGAGGGGCAGCAUGAGGUAGCAAUACCUUGAUGGCGACCGGCGCACGGGUGAGUAACGCGUAUGCAACCUGCCCGAUACCGGGGUAUAGCCCAUGGAAACGUGGAUUAACACCCCCAUAGUACUUUUAUCCUGCAUGGGUAUGUGAGUUAAAUGUUCAAGGUAUCGGAUGGGCAUGCGUCCUUA